GGCGAGCUGGGCGGGGCGCACGGCGCGCCGGGAAUUUGAGGACGCUCUGGCAGCUGGUCGGGCGGCUGAGUUCGCUUGGGGCAUGAAAAAAGGAUGAUCAUAGUGAGGAAUGUGAGAAAGAAUACAGAACUGGGAACGGAGAUAUUUGGGAACAGAUAUUGCUGGGAAUUCAGCCACUCUGAUGUGAGGCAGCCCAAGCAGCCCAUGGAGAGAUCUGUGUGGAGAAAAACCAAGGUCCCUGACAACAGUCUCAGCAGAGUCCCCAGCCAGGAACCAGCAGUAACUGCCAGCCUUGUCAUUUCUAUUUUCUACUAGUUGCUGCAUCAUCAAUCUUUUCAAGUCAUCAUUCAAAUAGUGCUUGGUCUCUCACUCUCCACUCCAAAGCCUUCUCCAGAUACACCCAAAAUACAAGGCCCACUGUAAGAAUUGAGCCUAGCAGAAGAUAACAGCUGGAGAAGGCUCCAAGAGCUAAGCCAAGAUUUGAGCUGCUGCCUGCCAUAGCCUACCAUGCCGCAGACAGAAGGCUGAAGCUUUUCACCUAUAGUUCUCAUUCAGUCCUCCAAACAAAUCUGCAAAGUUGAUGGCAACUCCAUAAAGAUUAAAAAACAACAGCAAACUUAACCUCACAGAAU
This 632-nucleotide long non-coding RNA is filed under the name Equus asinus (donkey). RNAcentral describes it as "lncRNA (ENSEASG00005033016.1)". Lineage: Eukaryota; Metazoa; Chordata; Mammalia; Perissodactyla; Equidae. The record is from RNAcentral.